GGGCUCACACAAGCGGUGGAGCAUGUGGCUUAAUUCGAGGCAACGCGAAGAACCUUAUCCUGGAUUUGACAUGCUUGGAUGGCUCGCCUGAAAGGGAUGAGUCUGCCUUCGGGUGAAACUUGCACAGGUGCUGCAUGGCUGUCGUCAGCUCGUGUCGUGAGAUGUAGGGUUAAGUCCUUAAACGAGCGCAACCCUUAUCCUUAGUUGCCAGCGGGUCAUGCCGGGGACUCUAGGAGACUGCCGGUGUUAAAACCGGAGGAAAGGUGGGACGACGUCAAAGUCAUCAUGGCCUUUAUGUCCAGGGGCUGCACACGUGCUACAAAUGGGCGUACAAAAGGGAAGCGAACCCCGCGAGGGCAAAGCA
This 364-nucleotide ribosomal RNA is filed under the name uncultured bacterium. RNAcentral's name for it is "bacterial SSU rRNA". It matches the Rfam family "Bacterial small subunit ribosomal RNA", at positions 917 to 1269 of the family's 1533-position model. The record is from RNAcentral.